AAGUCGUAACAAGGUUUCCGUAGGUGAACCUGCGGAAGGAUCAUUAUUGAAAUAAACCUGAUGGGUUGCUGCUGGCUCUCUAGGGAGCAUGUGCACACUUGUCAUCUUUAUAUCUCCACCUGUGCACCUUUUGUAGAUCUGGAUAUCUUUCUGAAUGCCUGGCAUUCAGGUUUUGAGGAUUGACUUUUUGUCUUUCCUUACAUUUCCAGGCCUACGUUUUCUUCACAUACCCCAUUUAUGUUAUAGAAUGUAAUAAAAAGGGCCUUUGUGCCUACAAACCUUAUACAACUUUCAGCAACGGAUCUCUUGGCUCUC
RNAcentral lists this unclassified non-coding RNA (315 nucleotides) under Cortinarius rubeus. Its description in RNAcentral is "partial internal transcribed spacer region". The stretch from base 1 to 46 matches the Rfam family "Eukaryotic small subunit ribosomal RNA", at positions 1786 to 1831 of the family's 1831-position model. Lineage: Eukaryota; Fungi; Basidiomycota; Agaricomycetes; Agaricales; Cortinariaceae. The record is from RNAcentral.